Molecule: ribosomal RNA, 696 nt
Filed under: Salmonella enterica
Lineage: Bacteria; Pseudomonadati; Pseudomonadota; Gammaproteobacteria; Enterobacterales; Enterobacteriaceae
Description: partial 23S ribosomal RNA
Rfam family: Bacterial large subunit ribosomal RNA
Source: RNAcentral
AGACCCGAAACCCGGUGAUCUAGCCAUGGGCAGGUUGAAGGUUGGGUAACACUAACUGGAGGACCGAACCGACUAAUGUUGAAAAAUUAGCGGAUGACCUGUGGCUGGGGGUGAAAGGCCAAUCAAACCGGGAGAUAGCUGGUUCUCCCCGAAAGCUAUUUAGGUAGCGCCUCGUGAAUUCAUCUCCGGGGGUAGAGCACUGUUUCGGCUAGGGGGCCAUCCCGGCUUACCAACCCGAUGCAAACUGCGAAUACCGGAGAAUGUUAUCACGGGAGACACACGGCGGGUGCUAACGUCCGUCGUGAAGAGGGAAACAACCCAGACCGCCAGCUAAGGUCCCAAAGUCAUGGUUAAGUGGGAAACGAUGUGGGAAGGCCCAGACAGCCAGGAUGUUGGCUUAGAAGCAGCCAUCAUUUAAAGAAAGCGUAAUAGCUCACUGGUCGAGUCGGCCUGCGCGGAAGAUGUAACGGGGCUAAACCAUGCACCGAAGCUGCGGCAGCGAACGUAUCACUUAAAGCGAUUCAGCGGGUUACGAUUGACGGAGCGAAGCGACGUCAAAGCGUAUACAAAGUCGAGUCGGUUUAAGGAUACGUUCGUUGGGUAGGGGAGCGUUCUGUAAGCCUGUGAAGGUGGCCUGUGAGGGUUGCUGGAGGUAUCAGAAGUGCGAAUGCUGACAUAAGUAACGAUAAAGCGGGU